UAAAUUGAAGCCGAAUGUUUAGGGAUUUAGCUGUUAAUUAAGAGUAAGUGGGAUAAAUACCCUCCAAUUUAG
Molecule: transfer RNA, 72 nt
Filed under: Sarcophilus harrisii (Tasmanian devil)
Lineage: Eukaryota; Metazoa; Chordata; Mammalia; Dasyuromorphia; Dasyuridae
Rfam family: tRNA
About the family: Transfer RNA (tRNA) molecules are approximately 80 nucleotides in length.
Source: Rfam by way of RNAcentral